RNAcentral lists this ribosomal RNA (468 nucleotides) under uncultured bacterium. RNAcentral's name for it is "partial 16S ribosomal RNA". It matches the Rfam family "Bacterial small subunit ribosomal RNA", at positions 28 to 507 of the family's 1533-position model. The record is from RNAcentral.
GACGAACGCUGGCGGCGUGCUUAACACAUGCAAGUCGAACGGAAAGGCCCUGCAUUUGUGGGGUGCUCGAGUGGCGAACGGGUGAGUAACACGUGAGUAACCUGCCCUUGACUUUGGGAUAACUUCAGGAAACUGGGGCUAAUACCGGAUAGGAGCUCCUGCUGCAUGGGGUGGGUUGGAAAGUUUCGGCGGUUGGGGCUGGACUCGCGGCUUAUCAGCUUGUUGGUGGGGUAUUGGCUUACCAAAGCUUUGACGCGAAGCCGGGCUGAGAGGUGUACCGGGCCCAGCGCAAAUAGAAUGAGGCGCAGCCCAGAAUGGGAGGCAGUAGGGGGAACACGAGCACAAAACGCGGCAGACGGAGGUAGCAAAGCCCCGUGCGGAAGGACGGCAUAUGGGUUGAAAUCAGAUUUCGCGUGUAACGAAGCGUGAGUGACGGUAAUGGAUAAAGAAGCACCGGCUAACUACGUG